UUUUAUGGAGAGUUUGAUCCUGGCUCAGAGUGAACGCUGGCGGCGUGCCUAAUACAUGCAAGUCGAACGAUGAAGCUUCUAGCUUGCUAGAAUGCUGAUUAGUGGCGCACGGGUGAGUAACGCAUAGGUCAUGUGCCUCUUAGUUUGGGAUAGCCAUUGGAAACGAUGAUUAAUACCAGAUACUCCCUACGGGGGAAAGAUUUAUCGCUAAGAGAUCAGCCUAUGUCCUAUCAGCUUGUUGGUAAGGUAAUGGCUUACCAAGGCUAUGACGGGUAUCCGGCCUGAGAGGGUGAACGGACACACUGGAACUGAGACACGGUCCAGACUCCUACGGGAGGCAGCAGUAGGGAAUAUUGCUCAAUGGGGGAAACCCUGAAGCAGCAACGCCGCGUGGAGGAUGAAGGUUUUAGGAUUGUAAACUCCUUUUGUUAGAGAAGAUAAUGACGGUAUCUAACGAAUAAGCACCGGCUAACUCCGUGCCAGCAGCCGCGGUAAUACGGAGGGUGCAAGCGUUACUCGGAAUCACUGGGCGUAAAGAGCGCGUAGGCGGGAUAGUCAGUCAGGUGUGAAAUCCUAUGGCUUAACCAUAGAACUGCAUUUGAAACUACUAUUCUAGAGUGUGGGAGAGGUAGGUGGAAUUCUUGGUGUAGGGGUAAAAUCCGUAGAGAUCAAGAGGAAUACUCAUUGCGAAGGCGACCUGCUGGAACAUUACUGACGCUGAUUGCGCGAAAGCGUGGGGAGCAAACAGGAUUAGAUACCCUGGUAGUCCACGCCCUAAACGAUGGAUGCUAGUUGUUGGAGGGCUUAGUCUCUCCAGUAAUGCAGCUAACGCAUUAAGCAUCCCGCCUGGGGAGUACGGUCGCAAGAUUAAAACUCAAAGGAAUAGACGGGGACCCGCACAAGCGGUGGAGCAUGUGGUUUAAUUCGAAGAUACACGAAGAACCUUACCUAGGCUUGACAUUGAGAGAAUCCGCUAGAAAUAGUGGAGUGUCUAGCUUGCUAGACCUUGAAAACAGGUGCUGCACGGCUGUCGUCAGCUCGUGUCGUGAGAUGUUGGGUUAAGUCCCGCAACGAGCGCAACCCCCUUUCUUAGUUGCUAACAGGUCAUGCUGAGAACUCUAAGGAUACUGCCUCCGUAAGGAGGAGGAAGGUGGGGACGACGUCAAGUCAUCAUGGCCCUUACGCCUAGGGCUACACACGUGCUACAAUGGGGUGCACAAAGAGAAGCAAUACUGCGAAGUGGAGCCAAUCUUCAAAACACCUCUCAGUUCGGAUUGUAGGCUGCAACUCGCCUGCAUGAAGCUGGAAUCGCUAGUAAUCGCAAAUCAGCCAUGUUGCGGUGAAUACGUUCCCGGGUCUUGUACUCACCGCCCGUCACACCAUGGGAGUUGUGUUUGCCUUAAGUCAGGAUGCUAAACUAGCUACUGCCCACGGCACACACAGCGACUGGGGUGAAGUCGUAACAAGGUAACCGUAGGUGAACCUGCGGUUGGAUCACCUCCUUUCUAGA
This 1510-nucleotide ribosomal RNA is filed under the name Helicobacter pylori. RNAcentral describes it as "bacterial SSU rRNA". It matches the Rfam family "Bacterial small subunit ribosomal RNA". Lineage: Bacteria; Pseudomonadati; Campylobacterota; Epsilonproteobacteria; Campylobacterales; Helicobacteraceae. The record is from RNAcentral.